AGAGUUUGAUCCUGGCUCAGAUUGAACGCUGGCGGAAUGCUUUACACAUGCAAGUCGAACGGCAGCACGGGGGCAACCCUGGUGGCGAGUGGCGAACGGGUGAGUAAUACAUCGGAACGUGCCCAGUCGUGGGGGAUAACUACGCGAAAGCGUAGCUAAUACCGCAUACGAUCUACGGAUGAAAGCGGGGGAUCGCAAGACCUCGCGCGAUUGGAGCGGCCGAUGGCAGAUUAGGUAGUUGGUGGGGUAAAGGCUCACCAAGCCUUCGAUCUGUAGCUGGUCUGAGAGGACGACCAGCCACACUGGGACUGAGACACGGCCCAGACUCCUACGGGAGGCAGCAGUGGGGAAUUUUGGACAAUGGGCGCAAGCCUGAUCCAGCCAUUCCGCGUGCAGGAUGAAGGCCUUCGGGUUGUAAACUGCUUUUGUACGGAACGAAACGGCGCUUUCUAAUACAGAGCGCUAAUGACGGUACCGUAAGAAUAAGCACCGGCUAACUACGUGCCAGCAGCCGCGGUAAUACGUAGGGUGCAAGCGUUAAUCGGAAUUACUGGGCGUAAAGCGUGCGCAGGCGGUGAUGUAAGACAGAUGUGAAAUCCCCGGGCUCAACCUGGGAACUGCAUUUGUGACUGCAUCGCUGGAGUGCGGCAGAGGGGGAUGGAAUUCCGCGUGUAGCAGUGAAAUGCGUAGAUAUGCGGAGGAACACCGAUGGCGAAGGCAAUCCCCUGGGCCUGCACUGACGCUCAUGCA
This 750-nucleotide ribosomal RNA is filed under the name uncultured beta proteobacterium. RNAcentral describes it as "bacterial SSU rRNA". It matches the Rfam family "Bacterial small subunit ribosomal RNA", at positions 8 to 753 of the family's 1533-position model. The record is from RNAcentral. Lineage: Bacteria; Pseudomonadati; Pseudomonadota; Betaproteobacteria.